RNAcentral lists this ribosomal RNA (407 nucleotides) under uncultured bacterium. RNAcentral's name for it is "partial 16S ribosomal RNA". It matches the Rfam family "Bacterial small subunit ribosomal RNA", at positions 28 to 526 of the family's 1533-position model. The record is from RNAcentral.
GACGAACGCUGGCGGCGUGCCUAAUACAUGCAAGUAGGACGCAGUUGCGAACGGGUGAGUAACGCGUAGGUAACUACCUAUUAGAGGGGGGUAACUAUUGGAAACGAUCGCUAAUACCGCAUACUAGUAGAUGGACCUGCGUUGUAUUAGCUAGUAGGUAGGGUAAUGUCCUACAUAGGCAAAGAUACCUAGCCGAGCUGUGAGGGGGAUGGGACAAACUGGGACUGAGACACAGGCCAGACUCCUACGGGAGGCAGCAGUAGGGAAUCUUCGGCAAUGGGGGGAACCCUGACCGAGCAACGCCGCGGGAGUGAAGAAGGUUUUCGGAUCGUAAAGCUCUGUUGUUAAGGAAGCGGUACUUAACCAGAAAGCGACGGCUAACUACGUGCCAGCAGCCGCGGUAAUAC